This 486-nucleotide ribosomal RNA is filed under the name uncultured bacterium. RNAcentral describes it as "partial 16S ribosomal RNA". It matches the Rfam family "Bacterial small subunit ribosomal RNA", at positions 29 to 507 of the family's 1533-position model. The record is from RNAcentral.
AUUGAACGCUGGCGGCAUGCCUUACACAUGCAAGUCGAACGGCAGCACGGGUGCUUGCACCUGGUGGCGAGUGGCGAACGGGUGAGUAAUACAUCGGAUCAUGUCCUGUAGUGGGGGAUAGCGCGGCGAAAGCCGGAUUAAUACCGCAUACGAUCCACGGACGAAAGCGGGGGACGUUCCGGCCUCGCGCUUUAGGGUUGGCCGAUGGCUGAUUAGCUAGUUGGUGGGGUAAAGGCCUACCAAGGCGACGCUCAAUAGCUGGUAUGAGAGGACGACCAGCCAGGCCUGGACGGAGACACGGCCCAGACUCCUACGGGAGGCAGCAGUGGGGAAUUUUGGAGAAUGGAGGAAAGCCUGAUCCAGCAAUGCCGCGUGUGUGAAGAAGGCAUUCGGGUUGUAAAGCACAGGUGUCCGGAAAGAAAUCCUUGACUCUAAUGCAGUCAGGGGAUGACGGUACCGGAAGAAUAAGCACCGGCUAACUACGUG